GUGCCCAGGGAGAAGAACCCGUCUCACAGGGGCGGGGGUCUAGGGCCCAGAGCGACGUCCUCCCCCUGGGCAGUACUGAGUCUUCGGUCGCCUCCCUCCCACCCAUCUACCCCUUCUAUAUCCAGGCGCUCCCUCGGGCACAACGGUGCUGACCACCCCUGUCCUCAGCCCUCAGCCCUAGGUGCUCACCGCAACGCCCCUCCCUGUCACGGUGCUGACCUCCGCCCCGCCUUGUUUCCUUCUAGAUCUGAUUCCGGAGCUGCCAUGAUUGAAGUGGUAGCAGAGCUGAGCCGGGGUCCUGUAUUUUUGGCUGGGGAGGCGCUGGAGUGUGUAGUGACCGUCACCAACCCCCUUCCCCCCACGGCCACUUCUGCAUCCAGUGAGGCCCUGGCCUGGGCCAGUGCUCAAAUCCACUGCCAGUUCCAUGCCAGUGAGAGUCGAGUAGCACUGCCUCCCCCUGACUCUAGUCAGCCAGAUGUCCAGCCCGACAGCCAAACUGUCUUUCUGCCACACCGAGGUGAGAGGGGCCAGUGUAUCCUUUCUACUCCACCAAAAAUUCUAUUCUGUGACCUGAGGCUAGAUCCUGGAGAGUCCAAAUCAUACUCCUACAGUGAAGUGCUGCCCAUAGAGGGACCACCCUCCUUUCGGGGUCAGUCAGUCAAGUACGUCUACAAACUGACCAUUGGCUGCCAGCGUGUCAACUCCCCUAUCACUUUACUCAGAGUCCCUCUGAGGGUUCUUGUGCUGACUGGCCUUCAGGAUGUCCGGUUUCCCCAGGAUGAGGCUGUAGCCCCAUCCAGUCCAUUCUUGGAGGAGGAUGAAGGUGGGAAGAAGGAUUCAUGGCUAGCUGAGCUGGCUGGGGAACGCCUAAUGGCUGCCACAUCCUGCCGCAGCCUCCAUCUAUACAAUAUUAGUGAUGGCCGAGGGAAAGUUGGGACAUUCGGCAUCUUCAAAUCUGUGUACAGACUUGGCGAGGACGUGGUGGGGACCUUAAACUUAGGGGAAGGUACCGUAGCUUGUUUGCAGUUUUCAGUCAGCUUACAGACCGAGGAGCGUGUACAGCCUGAGUACCAGCGGCGACGUGGGGCAGGGGGUGUCCCCUCUGUGUCCCAUGUGACUCACGCCCGGCACCAGGAAUCCUGCCUACAUACAACUAGAACCAGCUUCUCCCUCCCAAUCCCUCUCAGCUCCACCCCAGGCUUCUGUACAGCCAUUGUGUCCUUGAAGUGGAGAUUGCAUUUUGAAUUUGUAACGUCCCGAGAACCAGGAUUGGUACUCCUACCCCCUGUGGAACAGCCCGAACCUACCACCUGGACAGGACCUGAGCAAGUACCUGUAGACACCUUCAGCUGGGACCUCCCCAUCAAGGUGCUGCCUACCAGCCCCACCCUGGCCUCAUAUGCUGCCCCAGGCCCCAGCACCAGCACCAUAACCAUCUGAAACUGGCCCACCCUGGUGCUAGUUCCUUCCGGAUACUGAGAACUCAGCACCUGGACUCUAAUGGGACCCACUUUUUCCACCUGGGGUCCAAUGUCGUGGACAGUGAGAGUCAGGCUUUCAGCUAUAGCAUUAAUUUAUUUAUUCAGAAUACAUUGGCAGCUGCUAGUGGUUUCCCUGGAAGUGGCAGCAGCAGUGACCAGUCAGCAGAUGGGUGAUCAGUUGAGUUUAGCUGGAGUGGGGAGCAGAAGCCCCAGGAACAGGGGUGUUGGCUGAGCCCCAUUCUGGGUCAGGCCCUCCCCCUUUGCAGGGCAGCCGAGGGUCAGAUUUUUGCACCAAGGAGAACUGGCAGGUUCCUGCCUCCUGACGUACCUCACACCCAGCCGGGAAGUCGAUGGGAUGCUGGGACCUGGGGAACCAAGGAUGGGGGAAGGAGUCAGCACAGUGAAAGGCUGCCUUUAUCCCUGCCCACAUAUUCCCUCUCUCACAGCUUUCCCCGCUAGAGCCCCUUUCAGUGGCCCCUUGGUCCUCCUAACUAAGCUCUCACCUACCAUACGUGGGCCAUUUUGUUUUAUAACAGGAGUAUUUUCUGUCCAGGUCCACCCCAACCUCCCCUGAUUUAUAGCCUGAAGCCUUAUCUUUCACACUAGUGUUGGUCCCUUCAGGUUUGGCCCAUCUUGUAUUGCUCUUCUGUUCAUUCUUAUAUCACAGCAAUCUAGUCAUUCCCUGGUCAUCCCUCAGUCACUCAUAUCAGAGUCAUUCUCGCUGGCCAUCUUUGGUCACUCACGUGUCACAGCAGCCCACGCCAACAGGAUGCAGACAGGUGCAAUGGAAACAGUCUUUGCGGAGCCAAGACUCGCCCAGGGUGAAAUAUUUCCCCUCAUAGUGACAGGGGGCUAGGGAAGAACAGGAAAUGUUAGUAGGUGUAGGAGUGCUGAUGAGAGGCAGAGGCUCUUCUGGUCUGGGGUGGAGACAGUAAGUACGCACUAUCCCUGUAUUUAGUUUGUCUUUCCUGUUUCACAGCUGGAGGGAGCCUGGGUAUUUUGACACAGGAUCAUCUGUAAGGCCCCAUCCUCCCUGUGCUGUCUCUGCUGCUCUUCCAUUCCUAACGCCUCACCCCACUUUACCUUGAGCUUGGAAGUAGCACUUGCUGUAGACUCCUGGGUGCUGGAGGAGUAGAGACAUCACCAAGCAGAUGAUCCCCCAGCCUCCUAGGAUCCCCUUGGCCUGUCCAGCCCAGAGCAUCCUUAGGGCCAUUGCUGCUGCACAGCCCUCUCGGACCCUUCUUGGCCUCUGCUCAGCUACUCUGGUCUUGACUCCUGGACUUUGCUUUGCGUUGCUCCUUGAGUCUUAGUUUUUCUCUUUCUCCCCUGGGCUCCUGUCUCACACUAUCUCCCUGCCCUCUGCUCUCACAGGCUGGGGACGUUUAUAAAGUGAGGACCCUGGCCCCCUGCUGAGUAGAGCUGGAAAAGCUGUAACUCUGUUUCCUGAGGUGAGGGCAUGAAAACAAGAGGUCUAGCUUUAACAAGCUGUGAGAGCUGAUUCAUGCCCCGGCACAGCUAGAAGGAGGGAGGUGGCCAUGGAGGGGGCACUGGACUGGGCACUUCCCCAGCAAGGAGGCAGGAGGGGUGAGGGCCCCCAGGUGGUCCCCAGAUCUCUUCCCUGACCUGGAGAGAAGGAAGCAUUCCACCUUCCCGCUUUCUCCCCCACUACCACCACCAGGGGUGUGUAUGCUGGGAUCCCUGCCUGGACCGGAGGGAGGCAUUUCCUGGGGAUGGUUAAUCCUGUGCCCCAGCCAAACCCAGGAGCUGCAAUAGGGUGCGACGGCCAGAGGCUCCAGGAGAGUGAGCAGGCACCUAGAGUGGAGACUGUUUCCCUCAGAUCCUAGGGCAGGGUUUCCUUAAUGUAUCCAAGGAAUAGGGCUGCCCCUCAGAGAUGGUGGGGACGGUCUCUUUUCCUCAGGCAUUCCAGAGGUGAACUGUCCAUUGCUUAUCACCUUCAAACAUACAGCAGAUGUGGGAUCACCCCACAUCUGGGGAUGAUUCUUUCCCCUUUCAGAGAGGAGCAUCUCUAAGUGCCCUGAUGGGAUGAAUCACUCCAGGUUCACAGAGGUGUCCUCUCUUUCCUCCCAUAUGUAAUGGAGUGAGGUUUUUAGGAAUUUAUCAUUUGGCAUCCACUGAGUUUCCCACAGGUUCUGGAGGAGCCCAGGAUGGAUUAUUGAGAGCAUAGGCUGUAGAGACAGUCUUCUUGGAUUCAGAUCCUGACUCCACUUAGCUAUGUAACCUGGUCAGAUUACUUCACCUCUCUGAGCCUGUUUCCUCAUCUAUAAAUUGGGGAUAGUAAUGCCAACUCAUUGGGCUGUUAUGAGGAUUAACUGAGAUAAUGCGUGCAGUGCUCUUAUCACCAUCUCUGGUGCGUAAGCGUCAGGAAAUAGCAGUUGCUGUGAUUGGGGCUAAAGCUCGGAGGCAAAAUGGGCGACAUUCUUUUCUUUGAAUGACAUUAAGCAGUUUGUGCAUAACUGAGGGCUUCUACUGGGGAUGGCUGUCUCCUGGCAUAGACCUCUGCACCUUUCACACUCAUGCUCCUUGUCAGCAGUCCCCAACCUUUUUGGUACCAGGGACCGGUUUUGUGGAAAGCAAUUUUUCUACCAGUGGAUGGAGGGGGAUAGCAGCAGGGGGAUGAUUUUGGGAUGAAACUGUCCCAUCUCAGAUCAUCAGGCAUUAGAUUCUCAUAAGGAGCGUGCAACCUAGAUCCCUUGCAUGCGGAGUUCACAGUAGGUUUUGCACUCCUGUGAGAAUCUAAUGCCGCUGCCGAUCUGCCAGGAGGAGGAGCUCAGGCGGUAAUGCUCACUCGCCCGCCGCCCACCUCCUGCUUUGUGCUCCCGCUUCCUAACAGGCCACAGACUGGUACUGGCCUGUGACCUGGGGGUUGGAGACCCCUGCUCCAUGUCACCUUUCCCACCUUUUUCAAAAACAGGUACCUCCAGGAGCAUUUUGGUUUUGGCCCUUGUAUUGACUUCCGAAUGUCUAGUUUGAGAAACUGUUCCCAAUAAGCCUUCUUCCCCCAGAUCUGCACCCUCGCCUCUACCCUAGGACAAGGUGUCCUUUUCUCAUCAUCCUGCCAGGCUAACUUUAAGUCUCCUGCUUUUUCUUACUGGGAUUCGGAUCCAUUUCUUCCCAUCUCCGCUCAUGUGAACUCUCCAGUUCUCCUUUCUCACCACUCUCCUGCUAGCCAUCUCUUUGGCACUAAAGGCCCUGGUCAAAUUGGAUUUCUUUCAUUUUUCCACACUUCAAAGACCCAUGUUCCAGGUGUUCCCCAUAGGGACAGUCUCUUUAUUUGGUUUUUCUAAGUUUUCAGUCCCAUUUACUCCAAGACUCACUCCCUGCCACCUAGUGCAUCAGAUACGGCUACUUCUGGCUGACUUUUCAAGGGGGGCCACCCUACCUGUCAUCUCUUCACUGUUCAGAAAUGACUGUGUCAGUGCACCUCAAACUCCCUUGCUGUCCUCUUCCAAGGAGACAGCUAAGGUGGAUGGAGAUGCAGAAUGGACCUCACGUUCGCCCUAGUCAGGACUGAUACCCUUUCCGUUUCAGAGGAGUGCCAAGAAAAAACUCACAGUUGAAACAGGGUGCUCUGAGUUCGGUUGCGGUGUGGGAGGCACGGCCUGGGCCUGCUCUCUGGGCUGGAGCAGGUGGAUUCGAAGGCCUGUCUAGCACGAGGGCCCAAAGGUCUUGUUAGUGGCCAGUAGCUCUGCCGCCUUUCCCAGAGAGGGGGUCCAGCGGACACCCUGGAAGGCUGGGCCCUGGGCCACCUUCUGCUCAUGCAAGCUAGAGCCAGCCCAAUAGGGGGCGGAUGUGAGUGGGGAGCUGGGGCUCAUGAAGGUGGGGGUGAUGCCGAAGGGGAAGGGAGCCCCAGUGGGGAUUGGUGCGUGUGCGGAAACGGGAACCGAAGUGAGGGUUCAUCGCCUGUAACGAAGAUGAGGUCACUUUGGCACCUGAACACAUCGUGGAGGCUGGACUGGAGGGAAGUGAGACUGGAGAGAACCAGAGAGAACGCAGAGUAAGAACUGGCCACUCUGGGCUCCAUCCCAGGGUCAACAUCCACUUUAGAUGGAGCCAGGGUUCAUGGCUUGCCAGUCUCCACCCAGCUGCUUCUCCCAUUCACAUUUCCUGCCUGGCCCAUGACCACCUUUGCCUUUGCGACCCCUGCCUUUGAUUGUUUUUCGUCUUGGAUAUCCAGUCAGCCACCAAAUCCUGUUGUUUCUUCCCUCAAAUUACCUCAGAUUUGUUCCUCUCUCCAUUACUAUCCCACCAUCCUAGAUUAGACACUUCAGGCUUGGGUUUCUCCAGGAACCUCUUCAUGGUUCUUCUUGCUUUCAGUCUCUCUGCCCACCAAUCUUACGUCGCCACUGCUUAGCUUCUCUUUGUUCUUCAUGACAUACUGCAGUACAGUUUUGUCCAUUUUUGCUUCAGAUUUCUCCUCUUCUUCCCAGUCUUUGGCUUCUGUAGAAAAUUCUAAGCAGAGCAGAAGAUUAAAAUAGUGACUAGUGCAUUUCCAGUCUCUAGAAGCGGUGACAACUAUGUUUACUUUGCCUCUUUUUAUGCCAGAUAUUUGUAGAGUUAGCAGGACUUAAAAGGCAAGGGGACACCUUUCCCUGUUGCCACUUGCCUCGUGCCACUUUUUCCUCAGUGAAAAAUUUUGUGAAGAAGUGGAAUUUGAAAUUGAGUGGGUAAGAGAUUAUUUCAGGGAAUAUUAUAUUUGAGACUUCAUGCUAUCGGAUGAUCCCAAGGGGUGGUAAAUAACUACUGGGGUUGGUAAUAAUGAUGAAGGGUGGUAAUAGGAAAAUACGGAAACAAUCUAUGUACCUAGGAAGAUGGGCCAAGUGUGAGAGAGCAGAGAAGACCUGGGGCCUUCCUGGACACUCACAGAGGUGCUGGUCCAGGCCCUGAUGGAGCAGACAGGUGAAACAUGGUUCACCUGGAGCUUGAAUCAUCAAGGAAAUCAAGAUAGGACAAAAUUCCUUUUCACUACAGUAUUGGGAUCCUGGAACUAGAGUUACCACCCCUCUGCGUUAAAGAAGGAGCUGUCCUGAGGCUUCCAUCUCUACUGGGCUUGAGGCAAGAGCAUUGUCGGGGCGGCCUGUUCUUGGCCUCUGUGCCCCAGGGAUUGCAAAUGUAUGUUCCUCAAAGGUAAGGGCUGUAUCAUUCGGCUUUCUUUGUAUUCACAGGUACAACUUGUGCUGGGCAGCCCGUGUUCAAUAAAUAUCGUGCCUAAGGGUAAA
RNA transcript from Nomascus leucogenys (northern white-cheeked gibbon), 6718 nucleotides. It is a transcript of the gene named RGP1 homolog, RAB6A GEF complex partner 1, with no coding region annotated. NCBI's taxonomy places the organism in Eukaryota, Metazoa, Chordata, Mammalia, Primates, Hylobatidae. The record is from RefSeq and is a predicted model, not a curated record. The transcript is spliced from 10 exons.